UCGCCGCCGCCCCCGCCCCCUGCCGAGCCGCCCGCGAGCCGCGCCGGGCCGGGCCGGGCCGGGAGCCGCCGGAGCUGGAACUGGUACCGGUGUCGGCUCCGCUGCCGCGGCCGCGCCCGCCGCUGCUGGGGGAGGCGGUGCCCGCGCCGCGCCCCCGCGCCCCGCCCGCCCCCGGCAGCAGCAGCAGCGGCAGCGGCAGCCUCAGCACCUCCGCCAGCUCCGCCAGCAGCUCCAGCGGCAGCACCAUGGACCUCUCCUUCAUGGCCGCGCAGGUGCUUCCUGUUAUGGGAGGAGCCUUUAUGGACUCACCCAACGAGGACUUUAGUACAGAGUACUCCCUGUUUAACUCAUCAGCCAACGUCCAUGCAGCUUCUUCCAUGCAGAAUCCACCAGAAGAGACGUCCCGUUCUUCAAAUGAUGCCAUAUUGUUAUGGAUUGCAAUAAUAGCAACAAUUGGAAAUAUUGUGGUUGUGGGAGUGGUGUAUGCCUUCACCUUCUAGGAUGACUGUCACUACAAACACUGGAAGAAAGGAAAUCUUCAACAGUAUUUGUCAUGUGGCCUAAGCACUAAAAUGGGAGU
Molecule: RNA transcript, 580 nt
Organism: Motacilla alba alba
Lineage: Eukaryota; Metazoa; Chordata; Aves; Passeriformes; Motacillidae
Gene: C5H14orf132
Gene name: chromosome 5 C14orf132 homolog
Exons: 3
Source: RefSeq, a predicted model, not a curated record